UGAGGAAUAUUGGUCAAUGGGCGCAAGCCUGAACCAGCCAUCCCGCGUGCAGGAAGACGGCGCUAUGCGUUGUAAACUGCUUUUCCAGGGAGAGAAACUCGCGCACGUGUUGCGCAAUUGACGGUACCCUAGGAAUAAGCAUCGGCUAACUCCGUGCCAGCAGCCGCGGUAAUACGGAGGAUGCGAGCGUUAUCCGGAUUCAUUGGGUUUAAAGGGUGCGUAGGCGGACUAUUAAGUCAGUGGUGAAAUCCUGCAGCUUAACUGCAGAACUGCCAUUGAUACUGAUAGCCUUGAGUUUGGUUAAGGUAGGCGGAAUGUGUAAUGUAGCGGUGAAAUGCUUAGAUAUUACACAGAACACCAAUUGCGUAGGCAGCUUACUGAGCCGACACUGACGCUGAGGCACGAAAGCGUGGGGGUCGAACAG
Molecule: ribosomal RNA, 424 nt
Filed under: uncultured bacterium
Lineage: Bacteria
Description: bacterial SSU rRNA
Rfam family: Bacterial small subunit ribosomal RNA
Source: RNAcentral